GCCCAAUGAUGAGACCAUGGCAAAUACGAGCUGAUUGGCUGGGGCGUAUGUCCUCUAGCUCUCUGACUGGUGGGUAAUCUUGGCAGAGCAGUGAAGAUUGGCUGCUUUGCUGUAAGGGCCCAUCCAUAGUAAAACCAGCUGCUGUUCAGAAAAAAAACAAUCGUCCACAAGAAAUGGGCGUUUGUGAAUGAAUUGUAGCUUAUAGUGCGUGUGUGUCGUCUGUCUGAGUGUGUGUAAAUGUGUCAGUUAGCCAAGAGUCAUGCGUCUCACAGGUCUACCAGCUGUGAACUCUUUCUUUGGUAAUCUGAGGGCA
Small nucleolar RNA from Misgurnus anguillicaudatus (oriental weatherfish), 313 nucleotides. NCBI's taxonomy places the organism in Eukaryota, Metazoa, Chordata, Actinopteri, Cypriniformes, Cobitidae. The record is from RefSeq and is a predicted model, not a curated record.